This 1338-nucleotide ribosomal RNA is filed under the name Staphylococcus aureus. RNAcentral's name for it is "bacterial SSU rRNA". It matches the Rfam family "Bacterial small subunit ribosomal RNA", at positions 212 to 1533 of the family's 1533-position model. The record is from RNAcentral. Lineage: Bacteria; Bacillati; Bacillota; Bacilli; Caryophanales; Staphylococcaceae.
CUGUCACUUAUAGAUGGAUCCGCGCUGCAUUAGCUAGUUGGUAAGGUAACGGCUUACCAAGGCAACGAUGCAUAGCCGACCUGAGAGGGUGAUCGGCCACACUGGAACUGAGACACGGUCCAGACUCCUACGGGAGGCAGCAGUAGGGAAUCUUCCGCAAUGGGCGAAAGCCUGACGGAGCAACGCCGCGUGAGUGAUGAAGGUCUUCGGAUCGUAAAACUCUGUUAUUAGGGAAGAACAUAUGUGUAAGUAACUGUGCACAUCUUGACGGUACCUAAUCAGAAAGCCACGGCUAACUACGUGCCAGCAGCCGCGGUAAUACGUAGGUGGCAAGCGUUAUCCGGAAUUAUUGGGCGUAAAGCGCGCGUAGGCGGUUUUUUAAGUCUGAUGUGAAAGCCCACGGCUCAACCGUGGAGGGUCAUUGGAAACUGGAAAACUUGAGUGCAGAAGAGGAAAGUGGAAUUCCAUGUGUAGCGGUGAAAUGCGCAGAGAUAUGGAGGAACACCAGUGGCGAAGGCGACUUUCUGGUCUGUAACUGACGCUGAUGUGCGAAAGCGUGGGGAUCAAACAGGAUUAGAUACCCUGGUAGUCCACGCCGUAAACGAUGAGUGCUAAGUGUUAGGGGGUUUCCGCCCCUUAGUGCUGCAGCUAACGCAUUAAGCACUCCGCCUGGGGAGUACGACCGCAAGGUUGAAACUCAAAGGAAUUGACGGGGACCCGCACAAGCGGUGGAGCAUGUGGUUUAAUUCGAAGCAACGCGAAGAACCUUACCAAAUCUUGACAUCCUUUGACAACUCUAGAGAUAGAGCCUUCCCCUUCGGGGGACAAAGUGACAGGUGGUGCAUGGUUGUCGUCAGCUCGUGUCGUGAGAUGUUGGGUUAAGUCCCGCAACGAGCGCAACCCUUAAGCUUAGUUGCCAUCAUUAAGUUGGGCACUCUAAGUUGACUGCCGGUGACAAACCGGAGGAAGGUGGGGAUGACGUCAAAUCAUCAUGCCCCUUAUGAUUUGGGCUACACACGUGCUACAAUGGACAAUACAAAGGGCAGCGAAACCGCGAGGUCAAGCAAAUCCCAUAAAGUUGUUCUCAGUUCGGAUUGUAGUCUGCAACUCGACUACAUGAAGCUGGAAUCGCUAGUAAUCGUAGAUCAGCAUGCUACGGUGAAUACGUUCCCGGGUCUUGUACACACCGCCCGUCACACCACGAGAGUUUGUAACACCCGAAGCCGGUGGAGUAACCUUUUAGGAGCUAGCCGUCGAAGGUGGGACAAAUGAUUGGGGUGAAGUCGUAACAAGGUAGCCGUAUCGGAAGGUGCGGCUGGAUCACCUCCUUUCUAAGGA